Molecule: ribosomal RNA, 194 nt
Filed under: uncultured bacterium
Lineage: Bacteria
Description: partial 16S ribosomal RNA
Rfam family: Bacterial small subunit ribosomal RNA
Source: RNAcentral
CGGAUUGAAGGACUGAAAUUCGCCUUCAUGAAGCUGGAAUUGCUAGUAAUGGCAGGUCAGCAUACUGUGGUGAAUACGUUCCCGGGCCUUGUACACACCGCCCGUCACACCAUGAGAGUUGAGAAUACCCGAAGCCCAUGUCAAAGUGGUCGAAGGUAGGCUUGAUGAUUGGGGUGAAGUCGUAACAAGGUAAC